Molecule: long non-coding RNA, 371 nt
Organism: Macrobrachium nipponense
Lineage: Eukaryota; Metazoa; Arthropoda; Malacostraca; Decapoda; Palaemonidae
Exons: 3
Source: RefSeq, a predicted model, not a curated record
CGUGUUAAUGGAGAAGAAUUCACAGUUCCGGAAGUGGGGGUGCAUCCUGUAGAGUCUUCAUCUGGUGAACAUCCUGUUCUUGCCUGGCGCACUGGUCAGUGUGUGUCUUGCAAGGCUCCUCAAAAAUUGCUAUCCUUCAUUGUCAGCACAGGAUUGAUAUAUGGGCAUAUCCUAAUCAUGCAGAGAAAGAACACAGAGGGUCUUUGUGGGCACUUUGACUUUCAUGUCAACAAUGAUUUCCACGGCUCGUAAUAGGACUGUAUUUCCUCUGCAGUACAGACCUUUUGCAUAUCCACAUUCCUGGCUGACUGAUAUCCAAAGUAAGCGGUUUUGUGGCAAUCUUUGCCCUACAUGUGCUCAAGAAGCAACGG